Calidris pugnax (ruff) is the source of this 565-nucleotide long non-coding RNA. RefSeq lists it as uncharacterized. The record is from RefSeq and is a predicted model, not a curated record. The transcript has 3 exons. Lineage: Eukaryota; Metazoa; Chordata; Aves; Charadriiformes; Scolopacidae.
UGGGAUUUUUUGCACUUCAGGUGGUUUUGGAGGUUGUUUUGGUGGGAUUUUUUGCACUUUUUGUGCUUUUUUUUGACUUUUGACUCCCCCUCAACCCCAUCCCAACCACCUCCGCGUUGAGUCGCAUCUACGAUUUCCCCCACCUCAGGAAGCGUCGCGUGAUGUUGGUUGGUGUUGUUUGCUUCCCCCCUCCCACCCAACGAACCCCCCCUCCCAAAUUUAACCAAAACCCUCAAAAAUCACCCCAAAAACUCCUUCUUCUCCUCCUUAACCACGGAGCCCACGUUCGACUCGGUGCAGAGCGCCCAACGGGCCAAGGCCUCCCUCAACGGCGCCGACAUCUACUCGGGGUGCUGCACCCUAAAAAUCGAGUAUGCCAAGCCCACGCGUCUCAACGUCUUCAAGAACGACCAAGACACUUGGGAUUACACCAACCCCAACCUCAGCGGACAAGGGGUCGCAGUGUAUGUUUGAUGGGGCCGCCAAUCUUUCAGAACUUGUGCUAACUCUUGAAGCCACGCGCCGGUAAGAGCCAAAAACGCCUUUUUUUUGCCCAAAAAAAACC